CGCUGGCGGCGUGCUUAACACAUGCAAGUCGAACGGAGAAUUUACUCGGUGAAAUUCUUAGUGGCGAACGGGUGAGUAACGCGUAGACAACCUGCCUCUUAGAUGGGGACAACAUCGCGAAAGCGGUGCUAAUACCGAAUGAAGUGGAGCUUCCGCAUGGAAGCAUCACCAAAGGUGGCCUCUAUUUAUAAGCUACCACUGAGAGAUGGGUCUGCGUCUGAUUAGCUAGUUGGCGGGGUAAUGGCCCACCAAGGCGACGAUCAGUAGCCGGUCUGAGAGGAUGAACGGCCACAUUGGGACUGAGACACGGCCCAAACUCCUACGGGAGGCAGCAGUGGGGAAUCUUCCGCAAUGGACGAAAGUCUGACGGAGCAACGCCGCGUGAAGUGAAGAAGGUUUUCGGAUCGUAAAGCUCUGUUGUUUGAGACGAAUGUGCAGACUUUGAAUAAGGGUUUGUAAUGACGGUAUUAAACGAGAAAGCCACGGCUAACUACGUGCCAGCCGCGGC
Molecule: ribosomal RNA, 508 nt
Filed under: uncultured bacterium
Lineage: Bacteria
Description: bacterial SSU rRNA
Rfam family: Bacterial small subunit ribosomal RNA
Source: RNAcentral